UGGGAGAGAUAAUAUUGUUUUUUACACUAGGUGUAGAAGUAAAUGAUAUACACAACACUUCGAAAAUUUUAUUAAACUAGGCUGGAAUACUAUCAAUAGCACCAAGCUAUUGGUGCUAUUAGUUUUUUAGUUCUUGGAUUGAGAAAUGUGUGGUUAGGAUGAUGUGGUCAUCUUAGGGUUGAGUGAGUGGUUCGUUGAAUAGUAUAAUCUAAGGAAUAAAAUAAUAAAAGAGUUAAAUUUAACAGUGGAAAGCUCGAUAGCACCAAAUCCGUGGUACUCUCGAUAGUAUCCCAGCUAGACUCAAUUUUAUUAUAAAAAUUUAAAUUUUGUAUUUUUGUUUCUACAUCAGCAUUUUUUGUGAUUUAGAUCAUAUUUAUCACAUUAUAUUUUAACA
Molecule: long non-coding RNA, 394 nt
Filed under: Ananas comosus (pineapple)
Lineage: Eukaryota; Viridiplantae; Streptophyta; Magnoliopsida; Poales; Bromeliaceae
Description: long non-coding RNA (ACOM_LNC016528)
Source: RNAcentral